Molecule: long non-coding RNA, 230 nt
Filed under: Elaeis guineensis (African oil palm)
Lineage: Eukaryota; Viridiplantae; Streptophyta; Magnoliopsida; Arecales; Arecaceae
Description: long non-coding RNA (EGUI_LNC082758)
Source: RNAcentral
GGUGAAUUCCAUGAGCCCCUUUUUGUGGAGGUCUUGAAGGCGACCAGCCUCCGCAGUGACUUUCGAAUGGAUCUUCCUCAGCUGGUGAAGUUCAUCUUCCAGCUUCUUAGAUUUCUUCGUCAACUGACGAACUUUUCUUCUGAGGUCUCGGAUCGUCGACUUCAGAGGAAUCUCCUAUGGUAGGGGGAGAGCUUCGGUAGGACACUGUCGUUGGGAGACAAAAGUGUCGC